Molecule: ribosomal RNA, 264 nt
Filed under: uncultured archaeon
Lineage: Archaea
Description: partial 16S ribosomal RNA
Rfam family: Archaeal small subunit ribosomal RNA
Source: RNAcentral
CACGACUACAUUAGAUACCCGCGUAGUCCUAGCCGUAAACGAUACUCGCUAGGUGUCGGCCACGGUGCGACCGUUGUCGGUGCCGUAGGGAAGCCGUGAAGCGAGCCACCUGGGAAGUACGGCCGCAAGGCUGAAACUUAAAGGAAUUGGCGGGGGAGCACCACAACGGGUGGAGCUUGCGGUUUAAUUGGAUUCAACGCCGGAAAUCUUACCGGGACCGACAGCAACAUGAAGGCCAGGCUGAAGACUUUGCCGGAUUAGCUG